GAUUGAACGCUGGCGGCGUGCUUAACACAUGCAAGUCGAGCGGUAGCAGGCGUAGCAAUACGUGCUGACGAGCGGCGAACGGGUGAGUAAUGCUUCGGAAUCUUCCUCGUAGUGGGGAAUAACCUGGGGAAACUCAGGCUAAUACCGCAUACGAACUACGGUUGAAAGCAGGGGAUCGCAAGACCUUGCGCUAUGAGAUGAGCCGAAGUCGGAUUAGCUAGUUGGUGGGGUAACGGCCUACCAAGGCGACGAUCCGUAGCUGGUCUGAGAGGACGACCAGCCACACUGGGACUGAGACACGGCCCAGACUCCUACGGGAGGCAGCAGUGGGGAAUAUUGGACAAUGGGGGCAACCCUGAUCCAGCGACGCCGCGUGUGUGAAGAAGGCCUGCGGGUUGUAAAGCACUUUUAGUGGGGAUGAAAAGCCGAGGGCUAAUACCUUUCGGUCUUGACCUAACCCAAAGAAAAAGCACCGGCUAACUCUGUGCCAGCAGCCGCGGUAAUACAGAGGGUGCAAGCGUUAAUCGGAAUUACUGGGCGUAAAGCGUGCGUAGUCGGUUAUCUAAGUCGGGUGUGAAAUCCCCGGGCUCAACCUGGGAAUUGCAUUCGAUACUGGAUAGCUAGAGUUCGGCAGAGGGAAGUGGAAUUUCCGGUGUAGCGGUGAAAUGCGUAGAUAUCGGAAGGAACAUCAGUGGCGAAAGCGACUUCCUGGACCAGAACUGACGAUCAGGCACGAAAGCGUGGGGAGCAAACAGGAUUAGAUACCCUGGUAGUCCACGCCAUAAACGAUGACAACUAGACGUUGGGAGGGUUUGCCUUUCAGUGUCGCAGCUAACG
RNAcentral lists this ribosomal RNA (837 nucleotides) under uncultured Pseudomonadota bacterium. RNAcentral's name for it is "bacterial SSU rRNA". It matches the Rfam family "Bacterial small subunit ribosomal RNA", at positions 27 to 857 of the family's 1533-position model. Lineage: Bacteria; Pseudomonadati; Pseudomonadota. The record is from RNAcentral.